This 1361-nucleotide long non-coding RNA is filed under the name Triticum aestivum (bread wheat). Its description in RNAcentral is "long non-coding RNA (TAES_LNC010913)". Lineage: Eukaryota; Viridiplantae; Streptophyta; Magnoliopsida; Poales; Poaceae. The record is from RNAcentral.
CGGCGUGAAUUCCUUGCAGGUAGAGGCGGGUCUCCAUGGCUGGCAGGGAGAGCUCCAAGCCAUGGCGGGGCUUUAGUUUUCCCUGGUAGAAAAGAGAGAAAGAGGAAGAUUCAGGGAGGAGGAGAGGUAGAGAGAAGAAGGUGCAGGUGCGAGCUUGGGGAAGAGGGAGCCUAACAUGUGCGUACAUCCUUGCUCCUUUUCUUCUUUCAGUUUUAGGUACUUUCCUGCAGGCGUGUACAUCCUUGUUCCUUCUCUUCUUUUGAUUUUAGCUACUCUCCAGUAUUCAAUUCUGUCAGCAGUUCUCAAGUAAAUGAACCGUAGAGAAUCAGCUAGAUAUUUUACUACUGUAAGCUGUGGAGUACUGAGAAUGGCAUUUAUAUUGCUGCAAAUGCAAUAUAUGAUUUAUGCAGCAGAGAGGAUGCCGCAAGGGGAGAGGAAUGGUGCAGUGAGAUUGAGGAAAACAGGACACAUCGGGACCCGGGAGCUCGAGAAGAGGCUCAAUCGAUCUCGACAAGAAGUGAUCUCCCCUUGGUGACAGUAUUAGAUGGCCUCCCUAGGCUCCUGUCAUAGACCUUGGUAUGUGUAUAUAUUUCAUUUCUUCAACGGUUUAUUGAUGCACGAGUAAGCUUGCAAAGCGACCUGGGUAUGUGGAUAGUUUUCACUUCUUCAACGGUUCAUUGAUGCAGGAGUAAGCUUGCGACCUAGGUAUGUGGAUAGAUUUCACUUCUUCAACGGUUCAUUGAUGCACGAGUAAGCUUGCGACCUGGGUAUGUGGAUAGAUUUCACUUCUUCAACGGUUCAUUGAUGCACGAGUAAGCUUGCAAAGCGGCAUCCUGCUUAUCUAGCUUUCUGUCCACUGCUGUCCAUGCAACUGGUAAUGACUGUGCAAGAGCCAAGCUUUAAUUUUUUUAUACAUCCGGCCUCUAAUCCCUGGCUAUUAAUUAUAUAUUUAAGCAAACAUAAGAUGACGAGACAUCAUUUAAUUUUAAGAGAAUCAAUAAAUUAUUGAAACUGAAAUGGUCAUAUAUAUGAUGGUUUGAUCUGUCGGCCUUUUAUGUUUUUUUUCAGAAGCAUAAAAGAUAUAAGAAUCUCAUCUCCUUCUGGCGGAACGGCAGAGGGCUUGUCUGCUACCAGGGUGAUCCAAAGGGUGUAUCUAGGUAGCAUGUUUGUGGCCUCUUGCACUAACAUGAUUAAUGGUAGCUUCUAUUCCAUGACAUGAUUUUUGCAGCUGUAACAAUAUGUUUCAUGCAAGAGGACAUAAAUUUGCAUCCUAUUUUUCUGUCCAGUUAGUUCCAAAUUACAAAUGUUUGUGCUAUCACUGACAAUUUGGUGGAAAAAGAUGAGUCGUAUAUACACCCAGU